Molecule: unclassified non-coding RNA, 213 nt
Filed under: Hevea brasiliensis (rubber tree)
Lineage: Eukaryota; Viridiplantae; Streptophyta; Magnoliopsida; Malpighiales; Euphorbiaceae
Source: RNAcentral
GUUUAAAUAAGAUGAUUGCAUCAAGAUUCUCCCUUUUACAGGUCUAUCUGGUAUCUAAUCAUCCAUACCUAGUUUGCACGACUUUUAAUUACAUCAAGUUCCAUUUCAGUUGGAUCAGUAGCCUGCAACUCAAUCUGAAUUCCGUCAAGCUCUCUCUUGAAUCUGUCCUUUGAACUGGCAUAGAUCAUCUUGCUUCUCACUCUUGCUGUGUCA